RNAcentral lists this ribosomal RNA (21 nucleotides) under Itersonilia perplexans. RNAcentral describes it as "partial 18S ribosomal RNA". The record is from RNAcentral. Lineage: Eukaryota; Fungi; Basidiomycota; Tremellomycetes; Cystofilobasidiales; Mrakiaceae.
UCCGUAGGUGAACCUGCGGGA